RNAcentral lists this ribosomal RNA (425 nucleotides) under uncultured bacterium. RNAcentral describes it as "partial 16S ribosomal RNA". It matches the Rfam family "Bacterial small subunit ribosomal RNA", at positions 354 to 796 of the family's 1533-position model. The record is from RNAcentral.
GUGGGGAAUCUUGCGCAAUGGGCGAAAGCCUGACGCAGCCAUGCCGCGUGAAUGAUGAAGGUCUUAGGAUUGUAAAAUUCUUUCACCGGGGACGAUAAUGACGGUACCCGGAGAAGAAGCCCCGGCUAACUUCGUGCCAGCAGCCGCGGUAAUACGAAGGGGGCUAGCGUUGCUCGGAUUUACUGGGCGUAAAGGGCGCGUAGGCGGACAUUUAAGUCAGGGGUGAAAUCCCGGGGCUCAACCUCGGAACUGCCUUUGAUACUGGGUGUCUUGAGUAUGAGAGAGGUGUGUGGAACUCCGAGUGUAGAGGUGAAAUUCGUAGAUAUUCGGAAGAACACCAGUGGCGAAGGCGACACACUGGCUCAUUACUGACGCUGAGGCGCGAAAGCGUGGGGAGCAAACAGGAUUAGAAACCCCAGUAGUCC